RNAcentral lists this small nuclear RNA (107 nucleotides) under Octodon degus (degu). The record is from RNAcentral. Lineage: Eukaryota; Metazoa; Chordata; Mammalia; Rodentia; Octodontidae.
GUGCUCGCUUUGGCAGCACAUAUACUAAAAUUGGAGCCAUACAGAGAAGAUUAGCAUGGACCCUGCUCAAGGAUGACACACAAAUUCGUGAAGCGUUCCAUGUUUUU